Molecule: ribosomal RNA, 458 nt
Filed under: uncultured bacterium
Lineage: Bacteria
Description: bacterial SSU rRNA
Rfam family: Bacterial small subunit ribosomal RNA
Source: RNAcentral
AGCGAACGUUUGCGGCGGGCCUAACACAUGCAAGUCGAACGCACUAGCAAUAGUGAGUGGCGCACGGGUGCGUAACACGUGGGUAAUCAACCCUUCAGCCUGGGAUAACGACUCGAAAGGGUCGCUAAUACCGGAUACGGCGCGAGGAGGCUUCGGCUUCUCACGAGAAAGCCACGCAAGGGGCACUGAAGGACGAGCCUGCGGCCCAUCAGCUAGUUGGUGAGGUAAGAGCUCACCAAGGCUAAGACGGGUAGCUGGUCUGAGAGGAUGAUCAGCCACACUGGAACUGAGACACGGUCCAGACUCCUACGGGAGGCAGCAGUGGGGAAUAUUGCGCAAUGGGCGAAAGCCUGACGCAGCCACGCCGCGUGAGCGAUGAAGGCCUCGGUCGUAAGACUCUGUGGGAGAGACGAAUAAGACGUGGCUAAUAUACCACGGCGAUGACGGUAGUCUCCUUA